GUCCAGGGGCGGGAAUCGAACCCACAACCUUCCGCUUACCGGAGCAGAUGCCAUGUCCACUAGGCUACCCUGGA
RNAcentral lists this transfer RNA (74 nucleotides) under Cordylochernes scorpioides. Its description in RNAcentral is "tRNA-OTHER". Lineage: Eukaryota; Metazoa; Arthropoda; Arachnida; Pseudoscorpiones; Chernetidae. The record is from RNAcentral.